GACGAACGCUGGCGGCGUGCUUAACACAUGCAAGUCGAACGGAAAGGCCUCUUUCGGGGGGUACUCGAGUGGCGAACGGGUGAGUAACACGUGAGUAACCUGCCCUUGACUUUGGGAUAACUUCAGGAAACUGGGGCUAAUACCGGAUAGGAGCUCCUGCUGCAUGGUGGGGGUUGGAAAGUUUCGGCGGUUGGGGAUGGACUCGCGGCUUAUCAGCUUGUUGGUGGGGUAGUGGCUUACCAAGGCUUUGACGGGUAGCCGGCCUGAGAGGGUGACCGGCCACAUUGGGACUGAGAUACGGCCCAGACUCCUACGGGAGGCAGCAGUGGGGAAUUUUGCACAAUGGGUGGAAGCCUGAUGCAGCAACGCCGUGUGCGGGAUGACGGCCUUCGGGUUGUAAACCGCUUUCGCUCAUGACGAAGCUUUGUGUGACGGUAGUGGGUAAAGAAGCACCGGCUAACUACGUG
RNAcentral lists this ribosomal RNA (467 nucleotides) under uncultured bacterium. Its description in RNAcentral is "partial 16S ribosomal RNA". It matches the Rfam family "Bacterial small subunit ribosomal RNA", at positions 28 to 507 of the family's 1533-position model. The record is from RNAcentral.